Stegodyphus dumicola is the source of this 4186-nucleotide long non-coding RNA. NCBI's taxonomy places the organism in Eukaryota, Metazoa, Arthropoda, Arachnida, Araneae, Eresidae. The record is from RefSeq and is a predicted model, not a curated record.
UCUUCCGUACGGCUCCUGCACUUCUCAAUUUUAGAAAUUAAGCCCUGAGAAGCUUUCUAAACUGAGCUUCAGAUAAAAAAACGGAGAGCCUAACAAAAUAGUAGAAAUCGACGAAGCGGGUCGAAUACUGAUUGUUUAUUAAGAGGUGUCAUUUCCUUCAGAAUGCUACAGGAACAACUGGCACAGCUUUUCGCGGCAUCUUCGCCAGGGCUCAAUGGUAGCCAAUUUUCACAGUCGACUAGAUAAUACAAUUCCAAGGAACGAUAGGCAAAACUUUGGCUAAUCUACUUCAACUUUCAGGAAUUUGAUUGCAGGUAGUUUUCACGGUCGAUGGGAUAAUAUUUAACAAAAUAGAAAACAAGCGAUAGAAUACCUGUAAGUCUAUUUGAUGCUAUUCUGAGAAUCCGGGAAGAUUUAUUACUUUCAAGCAAGUACUGAAAGAAAAUCAUGUCUCAGGACUAACCACCCUGGUCGGUACGUUAGUUGAUGGAGCUGGCUGACAUAUCAUUGGGCUCUGUUUCAAAUCCUGAUAAAGCUUAUCUGGACUCAUUAUUUGAAUAAAUAUCAACGAUCCCGUAGUCGCAACAACUGGUAUCAGAAGUAAGGCUUCUUUGAAUGGACAUAAACAGGAGGAUGAACGAGCAGCUGAAUGCCAUAAUGGAAAUAAUUGUUGCCAGUCAGAAAGAGGCAGCCUCAAAUGCUGCUGAGAUGAAGAAGCAGCACAAAUAAAAGAAAGUACCUUGUCAAUACUCACGUAUGAAGAUUAUAUUCGCCAUCGAAGGAAAGUCAUCAGUAUUAUGAACGAAAACGUAACCGCUGUAAGAGAAAAAUUACAAAUACAAGUAGUGAAUGUUAGUCAAGAGAUCUCUGCGCUGAACGAGAGACUGGAUAAAGCGAUUCUAAUAGUGGAACAGGAAUUUGUAGAACCAUUUCCAUGCAUAAACAAUGUACCAACUUAGCCUGCUUUGAAUAAUGUUCUGGUUCAGUUAUCUCAUCCCACAGUUAAGUUCUUGGCAUAUGAUGAAACGUCAUCAUAGAACGCGUAAGACACAGUUCUAAAUGCUUUCUAAGGCAAAUUAGCGGGACGCUGUCACCAAAGCGUUAAAUCUGGCAGCCCGUUUACGAGGACAGGCAGCGGACAUAAUACAGGUACUCCCAGCUGAAAAACAUUCGGAUCUGACUCCUUAAUUAAUGCGUCAGAAGUGCGAUUUGAAGAACUAUUUCUCAGAGAUUACCACUGACUGCAACUUAAGCCUCGAAAGCAGAGAGAAAAAGAGACACUUCAAGAACCGGUAAUUGACAUCGAAAAGUUAACGCAGCUAAUACUUCUGGAUUGCGACCAAGAAAUUAAAGAAACUUUGAGUCUUCAGUAUUUGUAAUUGUUAUCAGCGGUUCUGAAAUACAGAAAUCACUCCGAAUAGCAGACAAAGAAGAGCAAGAAAUUAAAAUGAGGUUUGCCCAGAUGGCCAGCAAAAAGACAUUAGUGCUGUAAGGUAGUGUUAACAGGGCAAAGGACAGAAUACUGAAAGUGGAUGGCGGAACUGACAAAAAGAAUAGAGGCAAUGGAAGAAUCCAAGAGGAAAUGGAGUAAAGAUAAAAAGAAAAUAAAACAUUAGAAGUGUAAUGGAGAAUGACAUAUACACAAAGAGUGUCGUGCGCGUCCAGUUCAAAAGAAGAAAAAUAUAUGUCGAAAAAACAACAGGGAAAAUACAUUCUUCAGAUGUCUUUUGUUAACCGCGGAGAUCAUGUACUGUGCGUGGAAGGAGAAAUCAACGGAUUUUCAUUUCGCAUGAUAGUAGAAACCAGAGUGAAAGUAACUAUUCUUCGAGCGAAUACACACUAGUAUGCAAGACUUAAGCAACAAAUUAAUUUUUCAGCAUAUAAUGAUGAAAAAUUUUAAAAGGGUCUUGUGCAGUCAGUACAAUGAAACGCCAACUCAAUUAAAAGGUGAUUCAUAUGCAAAUAUCAGCACCGCGACGUCAGAGAGUAUGCUAGGACACGCAAAACGCGAAAAAUCAGCGGGCGUAGUGCAAGAAGGAAGGAAGGCGUAUUUUCAGGCAUUCUUCAAGUGAAAGUUAGAUUGUAUAUGUAGUAUGGCUACAAGAAAACAUAUACCUUUCCACAUGGUGGAAUGAUAGGCAAGCUUUAUGAGAAUCGUAGUUUGAUAACUGCCACUCAAGAGUUUCGAACUGAUAAAAGUGUUGUUUCACGAGUUUGAAAAGCCUUAAAUACGGCAGGUACUGCUCUUUAAGAAAGGUUGUUAGUAAUCGGCCAAGGAAAACAGCGGUGACUAAUGAUAGAUAUAUUACCCUGCAAGUGAAAGGAGAUUGAGAUCAGACAGAGGGCAAUAUUGUUCAGCAGUUGCGUACUGCAACCUGAAGACAAGUAUUUUAGUUUACUGUGACCAUACGACUUAAUAAUGGCGGCCUAUUCGCCCGUGGUCUUCAACGCUGUUUGCUAUUGACAGCAGCUCAUCGGGCACCGUUUACAGUGGUCUAGGAAACACAAAGACUGGGCACUUCAAUGUAGUCCUGUCACGUCAUCAGUGAAAUUUACCGAUGACAGUCGUUUCAGUCUGACAAAUGGUUCUCGGUGCCAGUUAAUGAUAUAAAGAGAAGCAUGGAUACGCUUUCAUCCCACUACCUUCAGGGAAAGAGAAUUUUGGAGUGGUCUUGCGUUCUUGUAUAGGGAAAGUAUUAAGAUGAACUGCGGAGCUGUACAUUUUCGAAAAAGGUUCACUUGCCGGAAACUGUAGCGUGAUGAAUUCAUCCUCCUCCACGUGUGUCUUUCCCGGAUGCCAUUGAUCUCGAUUUAUUUUUACGGAUGACCAUGCACGACCACACAAGCUUCAUAGUGUUGAGGAGGUCCUGGAAAGGGAAGAUAUCCACAGAAUGGAUUGGCCAGUGUGCUUCCUUGAUUUAAAUCUAAUUGAACUUACUUGGAAUACUUUAGGGAGACGCUUGCGGCACAAUCUUACGCUCUGAAAAAAAAAACCAGAAAGCUGAAAUAGACGCUCUUUGAAAAAUGGUAAUUCUUUUCCCAAGAACUAUUAGGUAAUUUGGUGUAGUAUAUCGAUAGGCGGUGCAACACAACCAUAGCAGUUAGAGGAGGUCAUAUGAAAUACUAAGGCUAUUUAGUUUGUUAUUCUUCCUGUUCACCACACAGUUCUUUGUACCAAGACCAUUCUGGCAAUAAAGCAUUUUUACAUUCAUUCCGUACUGUAUGCGUCCUAUUCAUUUUUUGCUCUAUAGUUUUUCUCAUCCUUUAAGUACCAAAUUAUGCCUCAGUAUGAAUUUUAUUCCUCCCAACUGGCAUUUUGAGGAAUUACGGCCCAAAUCAGAAAUUUGCUUAGUUUUGCACACUAGUGUAUCUCGACGGUUGAAAGGUCACCUGCUAUAUACGGCUCCAUCCUUAAAUCUACAAACCUGAAUAAAGAGAAAAUCUCAGUGCAUUGGAAAAUGACUGUGCACAUCAAGUUCCCAUCCUACGUAUAUGAAGUCAUAGUUUAUGUAAUUGAUAUAACCGAUCCAUGCAUUUUCGUCUUGAUUUCUGAAAAAGUAUGGAUUUUGUUUAGAUGUUAAAUCCUGAAUUAUGCUCCCUUAAUGAAGAAAUGCGAUGUUUGAAGUACAUGAAAUUAAAAAGAUCUACUAUAGGAUAAUUGCUCAUGAUAAAAUUACUAUACUUCCAAGCAUGGAAUGCAUCACCAUCAGCGGUGCGGUAAAGAGUCACGAGAAAUUGCAAUUCGGGAUUACUGAUUUUCCGAGGGAAAGUACUUGUUUUCGUAUUCUGCACCAGAAUCCAAAUUUCCAUAUUUAAGCUAGAGUGUGUAUUUUAGUUCAGAUUUAGUCUAUUUAAGCCGAAGGCUUUUGGAUCUUAGCCAGAGAGAGAUAGAAUUGCUGGUACUUGCGCUGCGCUGAUAGAUUCUGGCAGAUAAGUCUAAAUGUAAUUAUCCCGGAUUUACAUUAUCUCACAGCCGAUACUUUAAACUUAUGUACCGGUAAAUUAUUUGAGCUAGUUUGUAGCUCAGCUAUUUGGUCGCAUAGUUGUAGACUACUUUAUUCUAUGUUUAAAUUCAAGUGUCUAUUAUUGCUUAUUUUACAACGCCUCAAGUAGUGUUUACCUGUAGUACGUGUUGUGCCUAUGUUUGCUAAAAGUUCAGUUUAAUAAAUAGAUUGUUUAAAAUCUU